GACGAACGCUGGCGGCGUGCUUAACACAUGCAAGUCGAACGGUAAGGCCCUUCGGGGUACACGAGUGGCGAACGGGUGAGUAACACGUGGGUGAUCUGCCCUGCACUUCGGGAUAAGCCUGGGAAACUGGGUCUAAUACCGGAUAGGACUCCGGACUGCAUGGUCUGGGGUGGAAAGCUUUUGCGGUGUGGGAUGGGCCCGCGGCCUAUCAGCUUGUUGGUGGGGUGAUGGCCUACCAGGGCGACGACGGGUAGCCGGCCUGAGAGGGUGACCGGCCACACUGGGACUGAGAUACGGCCCAGACUCCUACGGGAGGCAGCAGUGGGGAAUAUUGCACAAUGGGCACAAGCCUGAUGCAGCGACGCCGCGUGAGGGAUGACGGCCUUCGGGUUGUAAACCUCUUUCAGCAUCGACGAAGCGAAAGUGACGGUAGGUGCAGAAGAAGGACCGGCCAACUACGUGCCAGCAGCCGCCGUAA
RNAcentral lists this ribosomal RNA (478 nucleotides) under uncultured bacterium. RNAcentral describes it as "partial 16S ribosomal RNA". It matches the Rfam family "Bacterial small subunit ribosomal RNA", at positions 28 to 523 of the family's 1533-position model. The record is from RNAcentral.